GGCGGCUCGAGUGGUGGCCACUAUUACUGGGCUUAAAGGGUCCGUAGCUUGAUAUGCAAGUCUCUUGAGAAAUCCGCCGGCUUAACUGGCGGGCGUUCAGGGGAAACUGCAUUUCUAGGGACCGGGAGAGGUGAGAGGUACUGCCGGGGUAGGAGUGAAAUCCUGUAAUCCCGGUGGGACCACCUAUGGCGAAGGCAUCUCACCAGAACGGGUCCGACAGUGAGGGACGAAAGCUGGGGGAGCAAACC
This 248-nucleotide ribosomal RNA is filed under the name uncultured euryarchaeote. RNAcentral describes it as "partial 16S ribosomal RNA". It matches the Rfam family "Archaeal small subunit ribosomal RNA", at positions 478 to 725 of the family's 1478-position model. The record is from RNAcentral. Lineage: Archaea; Methanobacteriati; Methanobacteriota.